Molecule: ribosomal RNA, 545 nt
Filed under: uncultured bacterium
Lineage: Bacteria
Description: bacterial LSU rRNA
Rfam family: Bacterial large subunit ribosomal RNA
Source: RNAcentral
UUGGCGACCGAUAGUGCACAAGUACCGUGAGGGAAAGGUGAAAAGCACCCCGACAAGGGGGAGUGAAAGAGACCUGAAACCGGAUGCCUACAAGCAGUCGGAGCCCGCAAGGGUGACGGCGUACCUUUUGUAUAAUGGGUCCGCGAGUUCGUGUUGGCAGCAAGCUUAAGCCGAGAGGUGUAGGCGCAGCGAAAGCGAGUCUGAAUAGGGCGCAUAGUUGCCGGCAUGAGACCCGAAACCUGGUGAUCUAGCCAUGGACAGGUUGAAGGUGGGGGUAACACCCACUGGAGGACCGAACCCACGCCUGUUGAAAAAGUCGGGAUGAUCUGUGGUUAGGGGUGAAAGGCCAAUCAAAACCAGGAAAUAGCUGGUUCUCCGCGAAAUCUAUUGAGGUAGAUCGUCCGUCGAUCACCAUCGGAGGUAGAGCACCGGAAGGGGCUAGGGGGGCCCAAAGCCCUACCAAACCCUACCGAACUCCCGAAUGCCGAUGAGUGCAGGCGGGCAGACAGACAGUGGGUGGCUAAGGUCCAUGUCGAGAGGGAACA